UACGGGGGGAGCAAGCGUUGUUCGGAUUUACUGGGCGUAAAGCGCGCGUAGGCGGCCCGGUAAGUCCGUUGUAAAAGUCGAAGGCUCAACCUUCGAAAGCCGAUGGAUACUGCCGGGCUAGAGUCCGGAAGAGGCGAGUAGAAUUCCUGGUGUAGCGGUGGAAUGCGCAGAUAUCAGGAGGAAUACCCAUAGCGAAGGCAGCUCGCUGGGACGGUACUGACGCUGAGGCGCGAAAGCGUGGGGAGCGAACAGG
Molecule: ribosomal RNA, 253 nt
Filed under: uncultured bacterium
Lineage: Bacteria
Description: partial 16S ribosomal RNA
Rfam family: Bacterial small subunit ribosomal RNA
Source: RNAcentral